GACGAACGUUGGCGGCGUGCUUAAUACAUGCAAGUCAACUGAAGCACCGGUAGUAAUACUGGUGUGGAGGUGGCGCACGGGUGAGUAACACGUAGGUAAUCUGCCUUCAGGUCUGACAUAACUCCGAGAAAUCGAAGCUAAUAUCAGAUGAUGCAGCGGCUUGACAUCAAGACAGUUGUUAAAGCUUCGGCGCCUGGAGAUGAGCCUGCGCUGAUUAGCUAGUUGGCGGGU
This 231-nucleotide ribosomal RNA is filed under the name uncultured bacterium. Its description in RNAcentral is "partial 16S ribosomal RNA". It matches the Rfam family "Bacterial small subunit ribosomal RNA", at positions 28 to 257 of the family's 1533-position model. The record is from RNAcentral.